CCUACGGGAGGCUGCAGUAGGGAAUCUUCCACAAUGGGCGAAAGCCUGAUGGAGCAACGCAGCGUGCGUGAAGAAGGUCUUCGGAUCGUAAAACCGUGUUUUUAGAGAAGAAAGUGCGUGAGAGUAACUGUUCACGUUUCGACGGUAUCUAACCAGAAAGCCAAGUCUAAAUACGUGCCACCAGCCGCGGUAAUACGUAGGUGGCAAGCGUUAUCCGGUUUUAUUGGGAGUAAAGGGAACGCAGGCGGUCUUUUAAGUCUGAUGUGAAAGCCUUCGGCUUAACCGGAGUAGUGCAUUGGAAACUGGGAGACUUGAGUGCAGAAGAGGAGAGUGGAACUCCAUGUGUAGCGGUGAAAUGCGUAGAUAUAUGGAAGAACACCAGUGGCGAAAGCGGCUCUCUGGUCUGUAACUGACGCUGAGGUUCGAAGGCGUGGGUAGCAAACAGGAUUAGAUACCCGUGUAGUC
This 465-nucleotide ribosomal RNA is filed under the name uncultured bacterium. RNAcentral describes it as "partial 16S ribosomal RNA". It matches the Rfam family "Bacterial small subunit ribosomal RNA", at positions 338 to 795 of the family's 1533-position model. The record is from RNAcentral.